AGCGAACGCUGGCGGCAUGCCUAACACAUGCAAGUCGAGCGCUCCCAGCAAUGGGGGAGCGGCGGACGGGUGAGUAACGCGUAGGAACGUAUCCUGAGGUGGGGGAGUAACCCUCGGGAAACGUAAGGGCGUAAUACCGCAUGAUGGCGAGAGCCCAAACGAUUUAUCGCCUUGGGAGCGGCCUGCGUCUGAUUAGCUUGUUGGUGGGGUAACGGCCUACCAAGGCGAUGAUCAGUAGCUGGUCUGAGAGGAUGAUCAGCCACACUGGGACUGAGACACGGCCCAGACUCCUACGGGAGGCAGCAGUGGGGAAUAUUGGACAAUGGGCGAAAGCCUGAUCCAGCCAUGCCGCGUGAGUGACGAAGGCCUUAGGGUUGUAAAGCUCUUUUGCCGGGGACGAUAAUGACGGUACCCGGAGAAUAAGUCCCGGCUAACUUCGUG
This 441-nucleotide ribosomal RNA is filed under the name uncultured bacterium. RNAcentral describes it as "partial 16S ribosomal RNA". It matches the Rfam family "Bacterial small subunit ribosomal RNA", at positions 29 to 507 of the family's 1533-position model. The record is from RNAcentral.